UACGGCCGCAUCACGUUGAAACACUGGUUUCCGUAGGAUCACCGAAGUUAAGCAACGUCGAACCUGGUCAGUAUCUAGAUGAAUGACCGCUUAGAAAUAACAGGUGCUGUAAG
Molecule: non-coding RNA, 113 nt
Organism: Acanthosepion pharaonis
Lineage: Eukaryota; Metazoa; Mollusca; Cephalopoda; Sepiida; Sepiidae
Source: the annotation of a GenBank genome assembly